RNAcentral lists this ribosomal RNA (446 nucleotides) under uncultured bacterium. RNAcentral's name for it is "partial 16S ribosomal RNA". It matches the Rfam family "Bacterial small subunit ribosomal RNA", at positions 338 to 795 of the family's 1533-position model. The record is from RNAcentral.
CCUACGGGUGGCAGCAGUCGAGAAUCAUUCACAAUGGGGGAAACCCUGAUGGUGCGACGCCGCGUGGGGGAAUGAAGGUCUUCGGAUUGUAAACCCCUGUCAUGUGGGAGCAAAUUAAAAAGAUAGUACCACAAGAGGAAGAGACGGCUAACUCUGUGUCAGCAGCCGCGGUAAUACAGAGGUCUCAAGCGUUGUUCGGAAUCACUGGGCGUAAAGCGUGCGUAGGCGGUUUCGUAAGUCGUGUGUGAAAGGCGCGGGCUCAACCCGCGGACGGCACAUGAUACUGCGAGACUAGAGUAAGGGAGGGGGAACCGGAAUUCUCGGUGUAGCAGUGAAAUGCGUAGAUAUCGAGAGGAACACUCGUGGCGAAGGCGGGUUCCUGGACAUUAACUGACGCUGAGGCACGAAGGCUAGGGGAGCGAAAGGGAUUAGAUACCCCUGUAGUC